UACGUAGGGGGCUAGCGUUGUCCGGAAUCAUUGGGCGUAAAGAGCGUGUAGGCGGUCCGGUAAGUCCGUUGUGAAAGUCAGGGGCUCAACCCUUGAAUGCCGGCGGAUACUGUCGGGCUAGAGUCCGGAAGAGGCGAGUGGAAUUCCCGGUGUAGCGGUGAAAUGCGUAGAUAUCUGGAGGAACACCGGUGGCGAAGGCGACAUCCUGGACCGGUAUUGACGCUGAGGCGCGAAAGCCAGGGGAGCAAACGGG
RNAcentral lists this ribosomal RNA (253 nucleotides) under uncultured bacterium. Its description in RNAcentral is "partial 16S ribosomal RNA". It matches the Rfam family "Bacterial small subunit ribosomal RNA", at positions 524 to 776 of the family's 1533-position model. The record is from RNAcentral.